CCCUGUUUUAGAAAAAUGGUCUUUCAGAAUUAAAAUGUUGAUCAUCAUCUCUUUAUUUCCAUAAUCAAAUCAGGAAGCAUUGAUAUAUUUAAGUCCUGACAUACUGAGACUGAAUGGACAUUUUGUCAGGAAUGCAUAGUACAGUUCAGCGAAAGGAAUGCAAAUGUGGCUCUAAUAUACUUUUGUAUUCAUAUUUCUGAUCCGUCUGUAGGCUGGUGUGAUUGUCACUAUUUAGGAGAUUGCCUCAGCCAUGCCCUUUUACCUAGUUAGUCUAUUACUAUACCUGUUUCAAAGCAUAUGGUGUGACUUGAUCUGAAAAAGAUCAAAGGUUUCUUCAUUAAAUGUAUGCAGCUUCA
This is a long non-coding RNA of Gavialis gangeticus (Gharial), 356 nucleotides long. RefSeq lists it as uncharacterized. The record is from RefSeq and is a predicted model, not a curated record. Lineage: Eukaryota; Metazoa; Chordata; Crocodylia; Gavialidae. The transcript has 2 exons.